This 369-nucleotide long non-coding RNA is filed under the name Phoenix dactylifera (date palm). Its description in RNAcentral is "long non-coding RNA (PDAC_LNC016932)". Lineage: Eukaryota; Viridiplantae; Streptophyta; Magnoliopsida; Arecales; Arecaceae. The record is from RNAcentral.
UCGGGGAUGUUGAUAUGAUUUUCUAAUUGAAACUAACUAAAAGAAAGAUACUCAGAUUCGAAAAGCAUUUAUUUAAUUAAUCAAAGAAGAGUUUUGGCAUAAAUUAAAAUGGAUGAAAAACAAGAAGAUUGAAGCGAACACAAAUUGUAUGAAGGAAGAUUUAAUUGUAUUGCAUAACAGAAAUUAAAAUUGUAGAAUAAAUAUAACUUUCUACCCAAAUAAACUCUCAAAAAUUAAAACUCAAAAUAAAACCUAAAAUAAAGCUAAAAAUAAGAACAACAUGCUCUCAAACUCAACAUAUAACUUCUCAAUUAAAACUUUCAAUUAAAGUACAACUAAAAAAAAUACAUUGUUCUCAUGAACUCAAAC